RNAcentral lists this long non-coding RNA (3048 nucleotides) under Olea europaea (common olive). Its description in RNAcentral is "long non-coding RNA (OEUR_LNC013706)". The record is from RNAcentral. Lineage: Eukaryota; Viridiplantae; Streptophyta; Magnoliopsida; Lamiales; Oleaceae.
UUUAUUGGUAGGACUUUAAGAACAGAGAAUCUGCGAAGAUGCUACCAAGCUGUAGACAUUUCUUUCAUGUGCACUGCAUAGACGAAUGGCUUCUCCGGCAGGGAACCUGCCCAAUGUGUAGAAGAGAGAUCUGAAUGGAACUGGACGACGAGGAGAAAACUGAUGGUGCAAGUUUGUAAAAAAACCCGGAGAGAAGAAAUAGGAAAUAGGUCAGAUCCAAAUGAAAAUGUCCCAGUAAUGCUUCUAUCCUUAACUUUGUUGUAGAUAAAUUUUGAAACAAAGAACUUUGAUCUCUCGUAUCUAAUGUAAGAUAGAAGUAGAAUCGAUUCUCGAAUGACCAAAUCAUCAUAGUACAAGUGGAAGUGCUCUAUGAAUAUAUGUAGUACUUGUGAAUACUGCAAAUUGUUUCUUUUAAAUUCUGUAUCUCCUUUUUUAUCGAAGUUGUUACGUGUUGUCAUACUUGGCCAACCUACUUGGGCUUAUGGCUCACUCAAUCCGAACCACGUGACACUCCAACCGAGGUGGCAUGUAUAGCCGAAGCCCAUAUACUGAGGCCUGUGAAAGUAGCUGAAGUCCAUACGCCGAGGCCCAUAAACCGAAGUCAUGAUGCGAGAUCACCGAAAAGAUAGCCGAAGCCCUAAAGCGGAAGUAUUACGUGAAAACGUCAUGAUCACUUCUCCCAAGAGAUCUUCUACAUAAAGAUCUUGUUUGAAUGAUUGAUGAAACGUUUAUCAUAAGUACAUAUGUCAAGUCUUAUCACUAGAAAAGGAGUUCUGUACAAGCAAUAAAUGCGCAGCAAGCUAGCAAGUUAAGGAUGAUGUCUAGGAUUAGAUGUUUGAAUUAAGGAGAUGAGGCCACGUGUCACCUUAUCUAAGGGCUGCCAUUUCACAUGUAAUACUGUAAAUACUUCCAUUGUAUAACAUUGAAGGGCUAAUGUAAGAAUCAAUACAAGAACCACAUUUUACUCUCUCUUUCAUAUUAUCUUACAACCCAAUACAAGUUCAUACAUAUUUACAUGUAUAGUCAUGAGCACUGAUUGGUAAUUAUUGUUCAAUCGGAUUAAGAACAUCCCGACGGAUUUCGAACGUUCUCGUCCCGCGUCAUUGAGCUACUCCCACGCCCCUGAUUUGUUCGUUCUAGACUGUACACGUGUCUCAGCGUGUAGGAUCUUCGCUCACGUGUGCGCGGGUGGGUCCGACGUCUGUUGGCAACACUUUUUGGGAUCAACAGAUUGUCGCCGUCUGUGGGAAACCAUACCAUAACCACGAACAACUUUGUGGUGAAAGCUUAUUGAAUGACGUUUGGGCACCCCCCUUGAAAAAGGAUUUGUUCUUGAAGAAGAAUAAGAGGAAGCCCCACAACUUAGUAAAAUCUGAAGUCAGACGAAAAUAAAAUGAGUUCAAAUGAAGACACACCCCACAGGAGGGUAAGAGAAAACGCAAAUGUACCUCCUCCACCCGCUACCCCAGCAGCCUGGCAAAGACUUCACCACCACAAAAGAAGAGGUGAAAUACGGGCAACGGCCCGACUGUCAAGAGAAAUGGCUGCCAACAUGAGAGAUAUUGCUAAUCAAAACUUGGUUAUGAGGGAGCUCAUGGCCCACAUGCAAGGCCAGGGGGGCUUUUCCAUUCCUCCAUAUACCCCUCAGGGGCACUACCAGCAAGAAGACGAAAUUCAAAGUCAUAGAACUGCCUCGCCGGACUAUAGUUGAGGUAGAAGCCCAUUUGAAAGGGAAGUAGAAGUUGAUGUUUCCUCCAACUACGCUUCUUGAGGUUACAACCCCAGUAUAGGUAGUUUUAGAUGAUAAGUUGAAUGAAAGAUAAAACUAAAUGGCUUAUUUAAUUUCACUUAUCAUUUAAUGACACAUUAACGUCACUUAAACUGGGGUUGUGACCCCAGUGAGCUCAAAUAGCAUUACUCUAUGAUAAAUGAAUGGAAAUAGUUUUUGAUACGUUGAAAGCAUUAAUUUGUCAUUGAACAUUGGGAGAACGUUUCCGGUGGCGCUAAUAUGUGGUUUGGUGAAACCGUUAAUACCUUUCAGGUUGCACUAAUAUGCAGUCUCGUAAACGGGAAGAUAUUCAUGGAAUGGGUGAGUCCCGCCGUGCUGAAAGCUUAUCAAUGGCAGGUGAGUAAUAAAUUUUCUGUCUAACAUUAUUAGUGUUAUGUGUUCCUCGGAUUUAGAAUUGUUAGCUGAGCGGUCGAGCUUUUUAUUCCAUUUAAUUGUUAAUAAGACCGAUGAUUGGAUGUUCUAGAUUAGCACUAUGGAAACUAGUUUGAGGGAGAUUUCGGACAUUUUUUAGGUCAAUACAAGUAGAGGAUUAUCUCAAGAUAUAAUUCAGAAGCUACCAAUUUACGAAUUCUAUUCCCCAAGGACGACAUCUUGUCACGAGACAAAUUGUUCAAUUUGCUUACAGGUGAGUUCUUCAUUGAUCUAUUAAGAGCAACAUUAUGGGAAGAGAUGAUUUUGUGGGUUGUGAUUGAACUAUACGUCCUACGUGGGGACCUAAAUUAUGAGGGGAGGGGGCCUAAAUCAUACUACCUAAUUCCUUCGUAGUUUUCAAUUAGAUCGAUCACAAUUGACGAUAGAACUAUCUAAUCCACCUGAUUUAGACUGGAAGAUGGAUGCACAGUUUGUUAGUCAUCUCAACGACUCAACCCAUUUUUCGUCCCACUACAUAAAUAGACAUGGACCAACCAUUCUCAACCUUCUGGAAACCAACCCAAGUUGCCAUUUGCUCUCCCAAUUACUGCACAAGCCUAUUAUUUUUAUUCUUGUUUGCAGUUUUUUUACUGUUGUCACUUUCUUUAUUGGUAGGACUUUAAGAACAGAGAAUCUGCGAAGAUGCUACCAAGCUGUAGACAUUUCUUUCAUGUGCACUGCAUAGACGAAUGGCUUCUCCGGCAGGGAACCUGCCCAAUGUGUAGAAGAGAGAUCUGAAUGGAACUGGACGACGAGGAGAAAACUGAUGGUGCAAGUUUGUAAAAAAACCCGGAGAGAAGAAAUAGGAAAUAGGUCAGAUCCUAAUGAAAAUGUCCCAGUAAUGCUUC